Molecule: long non-coding RNA, 2792 nt
Organism: Equus caballus (horse)
Lineage: Eukaryota; Metazoa; Chordata; Mammalia; Perissodactyla; Equidae
Source: Ensembl
ACUUGUCAGGUGGCCGGGAAGGGGGGGGGGGGCAUUCCCAGCAGCAGGAGCGGCUUAAGCAAAGACAAGAGGGAGAAGUUUGGUUUCAGGGAAGGCUCAAAUAACCACCGUGGCCACUCAGGCUGGCAGGCUCUUGCUCCUGGACGUGCAGAGCGGCAGGCCUGGAGGCCGGGAAGGAGGGAGCGAUGACCAAGACUUCCUGGAACACCGCUUGUUCUUACGACAAACCCGCUAAUGUGGCCUGUAAGUAGGACGCUCAGGGCCUCGGCACUGCCUGGAACCUCUGCCCGCCCCACACCAUCACCAGCAUCUCUCCACGCCCCUUCAUUGUUCCUACUCGUCCUCAGAACUCAGCUCAAGCCACGCCAGUGCCCUUGGCUUGGAGCUCCUGUAGGGAGAGACCUCUCCCCUUUCAGAGACUGCUCCCCUCUCUCCUCUCUUCCCCAGCCUCCAGACCAGCUUCGGGCCUGAAGGAGGGGCUCAGGUUGGACUCACUGAUGAGUGAUGGCAAUGUGAACGUCACUGUGGUGGAUCACAGAGAGUCUGAACUGGAAGGAACCCUAGAGAUCAUGAGAUAGCAUGAGGAGAGGGCACGGCCCUGGACCAAGAGAAGCUGAAAGACUGAGAUAGGCUGCGGGGAAACCACUUGGUCAAGUCCAAGUCUUCAUUCUACAGUGGAAGAAACUGAGAGGGCAGGGAUUGGCCCAAGGUCACACAGAGUCGAUCCACAAACUAGGCAGGGCUGGGUGCAGGCUCCCGAGUCCUGGCGGGGAGUAUUUCCUACUGUAUCCUGCACUUAAGCAGUUCCGUUUGGGCGGAAGCUCUGCUGUUCGGGAAGAGACGCCAGGCCUUUCCAGAAUCCGGUCUAAGGCUGUCUUCCAGGACCUGCUGUCAAGGCUUGUUCCUCAGGGACCAGCUGUUGGCAAAAGGAGGCGAGGUAUUGAUUAUGGCUGGGGCUGGGGGAGUGGAGAGAAGGGACGGGGAAGGGCAGUGGAAGUUUCUCUGAGAAACAAACCAAAGGUAUCUUUAUUUUUGCUUUUUCUUAUCUGUAUGUUCUAAUUUUUCUGCAGUGAUAUAAUUCAUUUUUCAUAUUUGAAAGUGAUAAACCAUGUAAUUGGGAACGCGCUGGGAAUCCAGGUUGUCUCAGUCCUGACUGUCUGUGUGAGCUUGGGUAGGUCCCCACCUCUCUCUGGGCCUUUGUUAGAAAUGCCAGUAAGGAGGCUGCCCAGUGAGAAGUAAGAGACUCAAAAUGCUCCCUGGCUCCGGACACAGCUCUCCAGCCUGGUCAUCACAGAUGUUAACCCAGCCAAAGAAAGAAUGCAGUAACCAAGGAGUGAGGUGUCCAGAGCAGAGCCAAGGUCCAGAGAAGCCCACUUUGGCUGUGUGCACAUCCAACACUGUCCAGAAGGGAAGAACUGUCUGAGGGACGUGCCCAUCCCAGUCCCCAGAGGGCUUCUCUGCGGAGUGGAGACAGUCCAUCAGGUUUCACCAAGGUCUGCGUGAACAGCCCUCUGCACAAGCCCUCCUCGCCCCUUUGCUCAGACUCCAGGCCCUCCAGGCCCCAGCUUCCCAGAGACCCAGCUCCCAGGAGGGAAGGAGACGGGGGAGGGGACAAGAGCACUCCUGUCAGCAGAAAGGGAGCCGGCCCGGGGUUGCUUACAAUAGUGCUGGGAGGAGGCAUUGACCUUGAGCGACAUGGUUAGGGCCAGCCUGUCUGACCUUCCUAGGCAUCUUGAGAAAGGUCAACAUCAGGACCAACCAGAUAAGGGCCAGACUCCAGGCUGGUCCCUCACCCAGGUCCUGCCACCCAGUGAAAGGUCAAAUGAUUUGAAUAUGUGUAUAGUGUUUAGAACAGUGCCUGGAAUAAAACAAGGAGCCAGUGAAAGUUAGCUGUGGCCUAGCUGGACAGCAGGGCGGAGUGCUGGGUCCAGAAAGGGAGGAGGGUCUUGAACUUGGCCAUCGGUCCAGUGGGAGCCCCUGCAUCCAGGAGGCUCAGCUCACGCCGUCUCUGCCACCUACGGAUACCGAGAGGGCACCUCCCUGACUGUUCUGAAAUGCGACAUCACUUUCUGGAGAUGGGCUCCCCUCUGAUCUUCAGGCCUGAGGCAGGCAUCAUGGCUCUCCAUCCCUGAAUUGUCUUCCACCCACCAGCCCUCACUCACCAGCUCUGGGCUAAACCUCAGAGGCUGGGAAUUCUAGGCCAGGCUGAGACCCCACAGUGUCAGGGCUGGAAGGUCCUCAGCGUCUGCCAUGUUUGCCCCUCCUCCAAGGCACACAUGGGGAAACAGAGGUCCAAAGAGGGAAAGGGGUCCCCUCCCACCCCCCAUCUCCAGUUUGCAAAGCUGGGAGCCAGUGGAUGGGCUGGAGCUGGGCCCAGGCUCGGUGCGUUCUCUCAGCCUCCUCUGCUCUCCAGGGGUCCCCAGAGGCCACUCCAGAGACUGUGUUCCCCCGUCUGUGGCCACACCUCACCUGGUCUUCGUUGGCUCCAUCCUCUGCGGCUGUGUCUGGGAUAACUCUCGCCAAGCAGGGUCAGCCCCCCGGGAGCAGGCCGCUAACGAGCUUCAGAUGUCCAGGCCAGACUGCCUCGCAGCAGGCGGGUGUGCAGAGGCUUGGCUGAUGGCGGCCCCCCGGGCGGCGGUGGUGGCUCAGAGGACACCUCCUCUUCCCUUCGUAGCUUACUUACCUCCCAACUUGGAUGGAGCAGGUGCCAGAGUUCCCCCAGAAGCCCCAGCCCGGGCGGCUAUUGCAAGGAGAUCUGGAAAAGGGCAGGGAGGCUGGAGGACAAAUGCAUU